This is a non-coding RNA of Ciona intestinalis (vase tunicate), 114 nucleotides long. The record is from Rfam. Lineage: Eukaryota; Metazoa; Chordata; Ascidiacea; Phlebobranchia; Cionidae.
UUUAGGUACGGUGACGUCGUUCCUAUAACUGUAUUUGGCAAAAUCGCCGGCGCCGGUUGCGCAAUUAUGGGAAUUCUUUGCAUUUCGUUCCCUGUCCCGGUGAUCGUAUCAAAC